RNAcentral lists this ribosomal RNA (465 nucleotides) under uncultured bacterium. Its description in RNAcentral is "partial 16S ribosomal RNA". It matches the Rfam family "Bacterial small subunit ribosomal RNA", at positions 338 to 795 of the family's 1533-position model. The record is from RNAcentral.
CCUACGGGGGGCAGCAGUGGGGAAUAUUGCGCAAUGGGCGAAAGCCUGACGCAGCGACGCCGCGUGAGGGAUGAAGGUCUUCGGAUCGUAAACCUCUGUCAGCAGGGAAGAACGGUCACUGUGCUAAUCAGCAGUGAAUUGACGGUACCUGCAAAGGAAGCACCGGCUAACUCCGUGCCAGCAGCAGCGGUAAUACGGAGGGUGCGAGCGUUAAUCGGAAUUAAUGGGCGGAAAGCGCUCGUAGGCGGUAUGUCAAGUCAAGGGUGAAAUCCCCGCGCUCAACGUGGGAACUGCCUUUGAAACUGGCAAAAUGGAGUGUGUGAGAGGAUAGUGGAAUUCCAGGUGUAGGAGUGAAAUCCGUAGAUAUCUGGAGGAACAUCAGUGGCGAAGGCGACUAUCUGGCACAUAACUGACGCUGAGGAGCGAAAGCGUGGGUAGCAAACAGGAUUAGAUACCCCAGUAGUC